UAGCUCUUUUCAUUACAGACAGAAUCUCAAGGUGCUUGUUAAGCAAAAUAAUCAACAAAAAGUAAGUUAAAAAGAAAUAGGCUAAAACAGUAGCAAGAUCAGCUAGUUUGAGUGGUUCUAGAUCAGCUAGUUUGAGUGGCUCUAGAUCAGCUAGUUUGAGUGGUUAUAGAUCAGCUAGCUUGAGUGGUUAUAGAUCAGCUAGCUUGAGUGGUUAUAGAUCAGCUAGCUUGAGUGGAUCUAGAUCAGCUAGUUUGAGUGGUUCUAGAUCAGCUAGUUUGAGUGGUUCUAGAUCAGCUAGCUUGAGUGGUUAUAGAUCAGCUAGCUUGAGUGGUUAUUGAUCAGCUAGCUUGAGUGGAUCUAGAUCAGCUAGUUUGAGUGGCUCUAGAUCAGCUAGUUUGAGUGGCUCUAGAUCAGCUAGUUUGAGUGGUUCUAGAUCAGCUAGUUUGAGUGGUUCUAGAUCAGCUAGUUUGAGUGGUUCUAGAUCAGCUAGAUUGAGUGGUAAUAGUUCAGCUAGCUUGAGUGGUUAUUGAUCAGCUAGCUUGAGUGGAUCUAGAUCAGCUAGUUUGAGUGGCUCUAGAUCAGCUAGUUUGAGUGGCUCUAGAUCAGCUAGUUUGAGUGGUUCUAGAUCAGCUAGUUUGAGUGGUUCUAGAUCAGCUAGUUUGAGUGGUUAUAGAUCAGCUAGCUUGAGUGGUUAUAGAUCAGCUAGCUUGAGUGGAUCUAGAUCAGCUAGUUUGAGUGGCUCUAGAUCAGCUAGUUUGAGUGGUUCUAGAUCAGCUAGUUUGAGUGGUUCUAGAUCAGCUAGUUUGAGUGGUUCUAGAUCAGCUAGUUUGAGUGGUUCUAGAUCAGCUAGUUUGAGUGGUUCUAGAUCAGCUAGUUUGAGUGGUUAUAGAUCAGCUAGCUUGAGUGGUUAUAGAUCAGCUAGCUUGAGUGGUUAUAGAUCAGCUAGCUUGAGUGGUUAUAGAUCAGUUAGCUUGA
Oncorhynchus keta (chum salmon) is the source of this 975-nucleotide long non-coding RNA. RefSeq lists it as uncharacterized. Lineage: Eukaryota; Metazoa; Chordata; Actinopteri; Salmoniformes; Salmonidae. The record is from RefSeq and is a predicted model, not a curated record. The transcript is spliced from 4 exons.